This 301-nucleotide ribosomal RNA is filed under the name uncultured bacterium. RNAcentral describes it as "partial 16S ribosomal RNA". It matches the Rfam family "Bacterial small subunit ribosomal RNA", at positions 509 to 807 of the family's 1533-position model. The record is from RNAcentral.
CAGCAGCCGCGGUAAUACGUAGGGUGCAAGCGUUAAUCGGAAUUACUGGGCGUAAAGCGUGCGCAGGCGGUUUGUUAAGACAGAUGUGAAAUCCCCGGGCUCAACCUGGGAACUGCAUUUGUGACUGGCAAGCUAGAGUGUGGCAGAGGGGGGUGGAAUUCCGCGUGUAGCAGUGAAAUGCGUAGAUAUGCGGAGGAACACCGAUGGCGAAGGCAGCCCCCUGGGCCAACACUGACGCUCAUGCACGAAAGCGUGGGGAGCAAACAGGAUUAGAUACCCCGGUAGUCCCUGUCUCUUAUAC